GACGAACGCUGGCGGCGUGCCUAACACAUGCAAGUCGAACGGAGUUGUUCCUUCGGGGACAACUUAGUGGCGAACGGGUGAGUAACGCGUGAGAAACCUGCCUUUCAGUGGGGGACAACAGUUGGAAACGACUGCUAAUACCGCAUAAUGUAUCGAUAGGGCAUCCUAAUGAUACCAAAGCUUUAUGUGCUGAAAGAUGGUCUCGCGUCUGAUUAGCUAGUUGGUGAGGUAACGGCUCACCAAGGCGACGAUCAGUAGCCGGUCUGAGAGGGUGACCGGCCACAUUGGAACUGAGACACGGUCCAAA
Molecule: ribosomal RNA, 307 nt
Filed under: uncultured bacterium
Lineage: Bacteria
Description: bacterial SSU rRNA
Rfam family: Bacterial small subunit ribosomal RNA
Source: RNAcentral